CCUACGGGUGGCAGCAGUGGGGGAUAUUGCACAAUGGGGGGAACCCUGAUGCAGCGACGCCGCGUGGGUGAAGAAGCGCCUCGGCGCGUAAAGCCCUGUUAGCAGGGAAGAAAAUGACGGUACCUGAAGAAGAAGCCCCGGCUAACUACGUGCCAGCAGCCGCGGUAAUACGUAGGGGGCAAGCGUUAUCCGGAUUUACUGGGUGUAAGGGGGGCGCAGACGGGGAUGCAAGCCAGGGGUGAAAGCCCGGGGCCCAACCCCGGGCUGGUGUUUGAACCUGCUUGGUGGAGUGCCAGAAGGGCAGGCGGAAUUCCUGGUGUAGCGGUGAAAUGCGUAGAUAUCAGGAAGAACACCGGUGGCGAAGGCAGCCUGCUGGACUGCAACUGACGUUGAGGCCCGAAAGCGUGGGGAGCAAACAGGAUUAGAUACCCUGGUAGUC
Molecule: ribosomal RNA, 439 nt
Filed under: uncultured bacterium
Lineage: Bacteria
Description: partial 16S ribosomal RNA
Rfam family: Bacterial small subunit ribosomal RNA
Source: RNAcentral